RNAcentral lists this ribosomal RNA (2085 nucleotides) under Triticum aestivum (bread wheat). Its description in RNAcentral is "partial small subunit ribosomal RNA". The record is from RNAcentral. Lineage: Eukaryota; Viridiplantae; Streptophyta; Magnoliopsida; Poales; Poaceae.
AUGUCGCGGGCGUCGCUGUCGCCGUCGUCGUCGGGCGACGAGGAGGAGGAGGACGACGAGGGGGUCGACGGGUACCGCAAGGGCGGAUACCACGCCGUGCGCCCUGGGGACCAGUUCUCCGCCGGACGCUACGUCACCCAGCGCAAGCUCGGGUGGGGCAACUUCUCCACCGUCUGGCUCGCCUUCGACGUCGCUUCCCAGAAAUUUGUUGCUCUUAAGAUUCAGAAGAGUGCACCAGAGUUUGCUCAAGCUGCUCUUCAUGAAAUUGAGUUCCUCUCGGAGAUCACUAAGAGAGAUCCUUCAAACUGUAAAUGCACCAUCCAGUUGAUAGAUCACUUCAAGCAUGCAGGGCCAAAUGGGCAGCAUAUCUGCCUUGUCUUUGAAUUCCUUGGAGACAGCUUACUUAAGCUAGUACAGUACAACCGCUACAAAGGCAUUGGACUGGGUAGGGUGAAGGAAAUAUGCAGGUCCAUUUUGGUAGGUCUUGAUUACUUGCAUGGAGAGCUUGGAAUCAUCCAUUCAGAUUUGAAACUUGAAAAUGUCCUACUUGUUUCAACAAUCGAUCCCUCAAAGGAUCCCAUUCGCUCCGGACUUAAACCUAAUCUUGAGAGGCCUGAGGGGAAUCCUAAUGGAGAAGCUGUUCUUAACCCGAUUGAUAAGAAACUGAAGAUGAGAGCAAGGAGGGUGCUCGCAAAGCUUGCUGAGAAAAGAAAAUCAGCUGCAGAAUUUGCACGUUCAGAAAGAAGCUUGGAUGGGAUUGACAUGACAUGCAAGAUUGUAGAUUUUGGAAAUGCUUGUUGGGCUGACAAGCAAUUUACAGAUUUUAUUCAGACAAGGCAGUACCGGGCACCAGAGGUCAUUCUUGGUGCAGGAUACUCAUUUCCUGUUGAUAUGUGGUCGUUUGCGUGUAUUGCGUUUGAGCUCGCAACGGGCGAAAUGCUAUUUACGCCCAAGGAAGGGCAUGGGUACAGCGAAGAUGAGGAUCACUUGGCUUUAAUGAUGGAGGUCUUAGGAAAGAUGCCUAGAAAGAUUGCUACGAUGGGAACAAAAUCGAAGGAGUAUUUUGAUCGCCAUGGAGAUCUGAAGCGGAUAAGAAGACUGAAAUUCUCGUCUAUUGAACGUGUCCUAGUUGACAAAUAUAAAAUUCCCCAAUCAGAUGCUCGGGAAUUUGCUGAGUUUCUAUGCCCUUUACUUGAUUUUGCCCCAGAGAAGCGCCCGACAGCUGCACACUGUCUAAAGAAUAAAUGGCUUCAGCGUGAUGAUGGUAAGAAUGUUACCAACUUUGCUUCUAAGAGCAUUGAUGUAACAUGCAACUUCGGGAGCAUGCCUGACAGUUGUGCCCAGAGAAUUGAUGCAAAGGGGAACACUAAAAGCAGUAUCAACAGUAACACUGAGAAUGCUGAUGUGGUACGACCCACUGAAAGGAUUUCCAACAGCAAUGCCAAAAGCACUUACGUAAAUCCCAACACUGGAACAAUCAUGUAUAAGGAUGGAAAGAACUCUGAUGUAAAGCCCCACUCUGGUAGCAUCAUCACAAACAAAAAUGCCAAAAGCUCCGAUGAAAAGCCUUUCACUGGAAGCAUCUCCAACAAAGAUGACAAAACAGUUGAUACAAAGCCCAUCACUUGGAGCAGCACCAGCACUGACGACAAGAGUGUUGACACAAAGAGCAGCAUUGGAAGCGUUACCAACAGAGAUGCAAAGAGCAUUGAAGGGAAGCGAAACAUUCGAAGCGUUGUAAACAGUUAUAUGAAGAAUUUUGAUGCAAAGCGGAACACUGGAAGCAUAGCCAAUAGCGAAGUCAAGGACUUGGAUGUUAAGCCCAGCAGUGGAGAUAUUGUCAGUGUUGAUACCAACAGUACUAGUGCAAAGCCCAACACUGGAAGUGUUGAAAACAGUGAUGUCACGGGUACUAGUGUGAUGGCGAACACAGGCCCUGCCAACAGUGGUGCCAAGUUACAGACUAACACUGACAGUGUUGAUCAGGAUGACACAGAUUCAAAGCCAAAUGUUGGACGUGUUGCGGCAAGCAUACAGAGGCUGGAGAGCAGCAUGAGUAAGGUGCAAAUCGGGAGAUAUCGAUGA